AGUGAACGCUGGCGGUAGGCCUAACACAUGCAAGUCGAACGGCAGCACAGUAAGAGCUUGCUCUUACGGGUGGCGAGUGGCGGACGGGUGAGGAAUACAUCGGAAUCUACUUUUUCGUGGGGGAUAACGUAGGGAAACUUACGCUAAUACCGCAUACGACCUACGGGUGAAAGCAGGGGAUCUUCGGACCUUGCGCGAUUGAAUGAGCCGAUGUCGGAUUAGCUAGUUGGCGGGGUAAAGGCCCACCAAGGCGACGAUCCGUAGCUGGUCUGAGAGGAUGAUCAGCCACACUGGAACUGAGACACGGUCCAGACUCCUACGGGAGGCAGCAGUGGGGAAUAUUGGACAAUGGGCGAAAGCCUGAUCCAGCCAUACCGCGUGGGUGAAGAAGGCCUUCGGGUUGUAAAGUCCUUUUGUUGGGAAAGAAAAGCAGCAGGUUAAUACCCCGCUGUUCUGACGGUACCCAAAGAAUAAGCACCGGCUAACUUCGUG
RNAcentral lists this ribosomal RNA (492 nucleotides) under uncultured bacterium. RNAcentral describes it as "partial 16S ribosomal RNA". It matches the Rfam family "Bacterial small subunit ribosomal RNA", at positions 29 to 507 of the family's 1533-position model. The record is from RNAcentral.